GACGGAGGUGGCAAGCGUUGUUCGGAAUCACUGGGCUUAAAGGGCACGUAGGCGGCCUGUCAAGCGUCCUGUGAAAUCCCUCGGCUCAACCGAGGAAUGGCUUGGCGAACUGACAGGCUUGAGGCAGGUAGGGGCGUGUGGAACUCUUGGUGGAGCGGUGGAAUGCGUAGAUAUCAAGAGGAACGCCGGUGGCGAAGGCGAUGCGCUGGGCCUGUCCUGACGCUGAGGUGCGAAAGCUAGGGGAGCGAACGGGAUUAGAUACCCCCGUA
RNAcentral lists this ribosomal RNA (269 nucleotides) under uncultured prokaryote. RNAcentral describes it as "partial 16S ribosomal RNA". It matches the Rfam family "Bacterial small subunit ribosomal RNA", at positions 524 to 792 of the family's 1533-position model. The record is from RNAcentral.